UUGUUGAAGGAAUGAAUGAACAAAUGGUUGUCUGUCUUCCCCGCUACACUGGAAACUCUGUAAGGGGAGAAAGAAAGUUUUCCAGGUUCACUUUUGUAUCCUUGCCACCAAGGAUGGAUCUCGUUUUUGUGGAGCUUGAAGCUUAUACAGUUCUGUCUGUCCUCUUUAAGAAAUAGAAAUCCAAAAUUACAAUAAAAGAUUCAGAGCUUUGGGAGGUGCAAGGGAGGGGCCCUGAGGCUUAAACUUCUUGGUAAAUCCACUUCUGUUUGAUACACAGUGCAUGCAGUGUCUGGUACUUUGUAGACACAGUUUUCAAUGAAUAUAUGUAUGCAUGAAUUAGGGAGUGGCAGUUGGCAAAGGAUAUUCAAGCCUUGGAAGGAAAGUUGUUCCAGAUGUAUAUAUUCAGUCCAUCAGAAAGCAUCUAUUAAGUGCCUACUUUCUGACCAUCAUUGUGUUAGAAUAAUGUGAUUUAAAAGGAAUGGUGGGCAGACAUAUUAUCAAAAGAAAUGUCGCAAGGCCUUGUAGAUGUCAUGUGGGACACAAAGGAGAGUGUGUUCAGUUAAACCUCAGGGCCAAGAAGCUUUGCAGAGGAGAUGAUGCCUGAAAAAAAUCUUGUAGGACGAGUAGUUGGUUCCAGUGCAGACAGGGUGGAGAAGGGCCUCUGAGGCUAAGAGAAGCGUGUGCACAAAGGUGUGAAGCUAGAUAAUGUUAUGCUCAACUUAUUUAUACUCAAUGUGUGUCUACUGGUUGAAUUACAGAUUAGUAAUGGCAUUUCAGAUUCUCGGAGGAGGAAUUUUUCAUAGCUGAACAACUCCAAACAGUGAUAAUUAUGGCUCUUGGCAACGGGAGCUUGACUCAUUUGGACUGUGGGAUUAAUGGGGAUAUUGGGAGUAGAAACUGGGUCUUGCAUUUAGAAGAACUGGAUUCCAGUCUGCUACUUAGAAGUGGGUGACCAGGGCAAGUCCUGUUAUCUGUGUCUCACAUCCCCUUUCUAUAAAGUGGGCAUGAUAAUACCCUACUUAACUGGUAAGCUAAUUGUUAGGAUCUUAUGAGACCUUGUACAUAUCGUAAAGAGCUAUAAUGAUUAUUAUUGUUCCUCUUCACCCCCUACCCUGAUGCCAGGUAGGCCAUUUAGACAUAUUUUCAUCAGUGUCUUGAAACUUUAUUCCUUACACCACUUACCUGUCUUGUACUUUCAUUCUUUCUUGCAAAGGAAAACCAAGUCAGUUCAUAAAGGAGUCUGAAAAUCCUGUGCAGGUGCUGAUACCAUCACUAGAGGAGACAGCAGCUUUCCUGUCGAGAGGCCAGGAGAGGCAACAUGCAGUAAAACAAGACACCUCCAAAACUUGAGUGUGCAUGAACAGCGGGAGCCAGCCUACAGGACGUCAGGAGACCUGUGUCCUGGCCCACGUUCAGCCACGAGGGACAGACAGCCUGGUCUUUCUGCGCCUCAGUGUCCACCUUGGUAAAACUGACAGCUUAGGCCAUGACUGUAGUGAUUUCUUAUAAAGCAGAGAUAAC
Long non-coding RNA from Bubalus bubalis (water buffalo), 1521 nucleotides. RefSeq lists it as uncharacterized. Lineage: Eukaryota; Metazoa; Chordata; Mammalia; Artiodactyla; Bovidae. The transcript has 2 exons. The record is from RefSeq and is a predicted model, not a curated record.